UCCGAAUGGCUCAUUACAACAGCUAUAAUUUACUUGAUUUUGACCCUAUCCUACUUGGAUAGCUGUGGUAAUUCUAGAGCUAAUACAUGCAUUAAAGCUCUGACCUCACGGAAAGAGUGCAUUUAUUUGAACAAAACCAAGCGGCUUCGGCUGUUUCUGGUCGACUCAUAGUAACUGAGCUGAUCGCACGGUCUUGUACCGGCGACGUGUCUUUCAAGUAUCUGCCGUAUCAACUUUCGAUGGUAGUGUAUCUGACUACCAUGGUGAUCACGCGUAACGGAGAAUAAGGGUUCGACUCCGGAGAGUUCGCCUGAGAAAUCGCGAACACAUCUAAGGAAGGCAGCAGGCGCGAAAAUUACCCACUCUCAGCACGAGGAGGUAGUGACGAAAAAUAACGAGACCGAUCUCUUACGAGGCCGGUCAUCGGAAUGGGUACAAUUUAAACCCUUUAACGAGUAUCUAUGAGAGGGCAAGUCUGGUGCCAGCAGCCGCGGUAAUUCCAGCUCUCAAAGUGCAUAGAAGUAUUGCUGCGGUUAAAAAGCUCGUAGUUGGAUCUGUGCCAUAGGACGUGGUCCACCUUCGGGUGCGUACUUCGCUCCUAGGCUUUUUGCUGGUUUUCCCGUUGUAGCCUUCGCUGGUUGCGGCGGGUGGCUGGCGAGUUUACUUUGAGAAAAUCAGAGUGCUCAAUACAGGUGUCUAGCUUGAAUGAUUGUGCAUGGAAUAAUAGAAAAGGAUUUCGGUCCUCUUUUAUUGGUUUUGUGGACUGAGAUAAUGGUUAACAGGGACGAACGGGGGCAUUCGUAUCGCUGCGUGAGAGGUGAAAUUCUUGGAGCCGUAGCGAGACGCCCUACAUGCGAAAGCAUUUGCCAAGAAUGUCUCAUAAUCAAGAACGAAAAAAAAGGGGGG
Molecule: ribosomal RNA, 906 nt
Filed under: Heterorhabditis indica
Lineage: Eukaryota; Metazoa; Nematoda; Chromadorea; Rhabditida; Heterorhabditidae
Description: SSU rRNA
Rfam family: Eukaryotic small subunit ribosomal RNA
Source: RNAcentral